Molecule: ribosomal RNA, 253 nt
Filed under: uncultured bacterium
Lineage: Bacteria
Description: partial 16S ribosomal RNA
Rfam family: Bacterial small subunit ribosomal RNA
Source: RNAcentral
UACGUAGGUGACAAGCGUUGUCCGGAUUUACUGGGCGUAAAGAGCGCGCAGGCGGUCGAUCAAGUCGAGUGUGAAAGCCCCCGGCUCAACUGGGGAGGGUCAUUCGAUACUGAUCGACUCGAAGGCAGGAGAGGGUAGUGGAAUUCCCGGUGUAGUGGUGAAAUGCGUAGAUAUCGGGAGGAACACCGGUGGCGAAGGCGGUUCUCUGGGCCUGACCUGACGCUGAGGAGCGAAAGCGUGGGGAGCGAACAGG